Long non-coding RNA from Peromyscus eremicus (cactus mouse), 264 nucleotides. RefSeq lists it as uncharacterized. The transcript has 2 exons. The record is from RefSeq and is a predicted model, not a curated record. Lineage: Eukaryota; Metazoa; Chordata; Mammalia; Rodentia; Cricetidae.
CGUCCAUGGUUUGUCGGGAGGGAGAAUCAGUUUCCUUAGUCGUGUGGCUCCUGGUAGCUCCACCAUGCUCCAGGGAACGGCCACAAAUGGGAUCUAAUGGCUUGUUUGAAGAAUAAAACAAAUGGAAGACCAGGACAGGUGUGUGAUGGCACCUCCCCACUGAAACUGCUGCCACAUGGAAGAUUGUUCUACAGAAUCGUCACCAAAUGCACAGGCUGAGUGUUCUACAGCAUCGUUACAAAAAUACACAAGGGUGAGAACAGA